AGUUGCAAACGACGGUGAACCACAGGCAGGUCUGAAGAAGAAAGAAGAAAGCGUACUUUAAGAGGAAAGGAAGAGGUUGGAAGGGGUUGUCUUGAGCCAAAGUUCAUUAAGGAGAGCAAGAGUUUGAGGUUGUGGCAACUUCUCAUUGGCUGAGUAGUUGCCAAGCAAGAGGAAAAUCUUCCUUCCUGCUGGGAUUACUCACAAAAGCUUAACGAGACAUUAGACAAGAUCAGCCAUCAUUUCCAGGGAAUCUUCCUGCUGACAAACUUUGCAAUUGAGUUUCUUCCAAAGAGGGAGACACAGAAUCCGGAAUAGG
This is a long non-coding RNA of Herpailurus yagouaroundi (jaguarundi), 316 nucleotides long. RefSeq lists it as uncharacterized. The transcript is spliced from 3 exons. The record is from RefSeq and is a predicted model, not a curated record. Lineage: Eukaryota; Metazoa; Chordata; Mammalia; Carnivora; Felidae.